GCCACCUGCGCGCCGGCCGCCCUGCCCAGGCCCUGCGCCCGCGUGCCGCGGUGUUUUCAGCGGCUGGCAGGAGCUCCUUCUCAACCGUUAGCACCCAAAGAGAAUCCCAACAGCACACUUCCAGCGCGGAUUAAAACAAACAAACAAACAACAACAACAACAAAAACGAGACGCUGCCUGUUGGUUUGUAACUAUCAAUUGAUGUGUUCUAUCCCAAAGUGGUUGACUUCACAUUGACAUAUAAUGCAUAUGGCGAAUACGUACUACACGCGCAUGCAGUCCUCGCUUGCACGGUAAUUCUGGACGCUGGAAAUGACUGAACCAUGCAAAACUACCUUAAUAAUCACUGGGAAAAAUUAAGAUUGUUUCACGACUUUAAACAGUUUUUCUCAAAACAUUCAAAGCAGUCCGGGCACGGUGGCUCACGCCUGUAAUCCCAGCACUUUGGGAGGCCCAGACGGGAAGAUGGCAUGAGCCCAGGAGUUCGAGACCAGCCCUGGGCAACACAGUGAGACCCGGUCUCUACAAAAUAAAAAAAAAAAAUUAGCCAGGCGUGGUGGUGUGCACCUGUAGUCCCAGCUUCUCAGGAGAAUGAGGGGGGAGAAUCACUUGAGCCCCGGAAGCCGAGGUUGCAGUGAGCCAAGGUCGCACCACAGCACUCCAGCCUGGGUGACAGAGCAAGUCCUUGUCUUGGAAAGAACAAACAACAACAAAAGAACCAUUCAAAACUCGCUUAACUGAUGGUUACAAAUACCCUGUAUAUGGAAAUGAAAAAAAAUCAGUUUAAAACAUUCAAACAUUGAGAAUUAAAGUAUUUUUUGUGUUUGUAAAAAUAAAGCUUAUUAAGAAUAACUUGAACAG
Molecule: long non-coding RNA, 861 nt
Filed under: Homo sapiens (human)
Lineage: Eukaryota; Metazoa; Chordata; Mammalia; Primates; Hominidae
Description: HSALNT0217943
Source: RNAcentral